Molecule: ribosomal RNA, 467 nt
Filed under: uncultured soil bacterium
Lineage: Bacteria
Description: bacterial SSU rRNA
Rfam family: Bacterial small subunit ribosomal RNA
Source: RNAcentral
AGAUUGAACGCUGGCGGCAUGCCUUACACAUGCAAGUCGAACGGCAGCACGGGAGCAAUCCUGGUGGCGAGUGGCGAACGGGUGAGUAAUACAUCGGAACGUGCCCAAUCGUGGGGGAUAACGCAGCGAAAGCUGUGCUAAUACCGCAUAAGAUCGUACGGAUGAAAGCAGGGGAUCGCAAGACCUUGCGCGAAUGGAGCGGCCGAUGGCAGAUUAGGUAGUUGGUGAGGUAAAGGCUCACCAAGCCUUCGAUCUGUAGCUGGUCUGAGAGGACGACAGCCACACUGGACUGAGACACGGCCCAGACUCCGUACGGGAGGCAGCAGUGGGAAUUUGGACAAUGGCGAAAGCCUGAUCCAGCCAUGCCGCGUGCAGGAUGAAGUCGUCGGUUAGUAACUGUCUUUGUACGGAAGAAAGUACUCUUACUAAUAAAGAGGAUACAUGACGUAACGUAAGAAUAAGACACG